UGGGGGAUCGUCUAAUGGCAGGACGGUAGACUCUGGAUCUACUAGUCUAGGUUCGAAUCCUAGUCCCCCAGCCA
This 74-nucleotide transfer RNA is filed under the name Thermodesulfobacteriota bacterium. Its description in RNAcentral is "tRNA-Gln". It matches the Rfam family "tRNA". Rfam says of the family: Transfer RNA (tRNA) molecules are approximately 80 nucleotides in length. Lineage: Bacteria; Pseudomonadati; Thermodesulfobacteriota. The record is from RNAcentral.